This 218-nucleotide unclassified non-coding RNA is filed under the name Funneliformis mosseae. RNAcentral describes it as "partial contains 5.8S ribosomal RNA and internal transcribed spacer 2". The stretch from base 1 to 71 matches the Rfam family "5.8S ribosomal RNA", at positions 84 to 154 of the family's 154-position model. The record is from RNAcentral. Lineage: Eukaryota; Fungi; Glomeromycota; Glomeromycetes; Glomerales; Glomeraceae.
GUGAAUCAUCGAAUUUUUGAACGCAAAUUGCACUCCCUGGUAUUCCGGGGAGUAUGCCUGUUUGAGGGUCGUUAGAACAAAAAUCGAAGUGUCGCUCUUUUUUUUUAAGGGUGAUCGCGUCGGAAUUGAGCCGUCUUUCAAAUGUUAAUUCAUGUCAAAGUGGUUUGAAAUUCAUCCACCCGGUCCGUUUAAAGCUUAUUUAAAACAAACUUUGUUAA